UUAAAACAUUGGUUCCCGUAAGAUCACGGAAGUUAAGCAACAUCGAGAGUAGUUAAUACUUGAAUGGGUGACCUCUUGGAAAUACCAGGUGCUGUAAG
Acanthosepion pharaonis is the source of this 98-nucleotide non-coding RNA. Lineage: Eukaryota; Metazoa; Mollusca; Cephalopoda; Sepiida; Sepiidae. The record is from the annotation of a GenBank genome assembly.